RNAcentral lists this ribosomal RNA (440 nucleotides) under uncultured bacterium. Its description in RNAcentral is "partial 16S ribosomal RNA". It matches the Rfam family "Bacterial small subunit ribosomal RNA", at positions 338 to 795 of the family's 1533-position model. The record is from RNAcentral.
CCUACGGGGGGCAGCAGUGAGGAAUAUUGCACAAUGGAGGAAACUCUGAUGCAGCAACGCCGCGUGGAGGAUGACGCAUUUCGGUGUGUAAACUCCUUUUAAGAGGGAAGAUAAUGACGGUACCUCUUGAAUAAGCACCGGCUAACUCCCUGCCAGCAGCCGCGGUAAUACGGAGGGUGCAAGCGUUACUCGGAAUCACUGGGCGUAAAGGGUGCGUAGGCUGACUUUUAAGUCAGGCGUGAAAUCCAAUGGCUUAACCAUUGAACUGCGCUUGAAACUGGGAGUCUAGAGUUCAGAAGGGGCAGAUGGAAUUAGUGGUGUAGGGGUAAAAUCCGUAGAUAUCACUAGGAAUAUCAAAAGCGAAGGCGAUCUGCUGGGAUGAUACUGACGCUGAGGCACGAAAGCGUGGGGAGCAAACAGGAUUAGAUACCCCUGUAGUC